Molecule: long non-coding RNA, 1316 nt
Organism: Astatotilapia calliptera (eastern happy)
Lineage: Eukaryota; Metazoa; Chordata; Actinopteri; Cichliformes; Cichlidae
Source: Ensembl
AAAGAGUUCAGCUGUAAGCUGGACAUUACUGUCUGCUUUAAGUGUAUAAACAUGCUUCACUAGAAUGACCCUCAUUUCCUAUGUAGUGACAGUGCACAGAGACCAGACGCUGCUUCAAUUUGGAUUUAAUGAGAACAGUGCUGGAAGAGCUACACCAUAUUUAUUACCAAAGCCUUGUUUGGCUGCUCUUUAUGCACAGCAGAGCUAAUAUAGCAAUGAGGAAGCUCAGAGCAGUUUGAAGAUAUUUCAAAUGUGCUUCACCAAUAGCUUUUCUUUGUAUAAUUGGAGAAAUAAACUAAAUAAAAACUGGUUAUGGGCAAAUCAAGUGAGUGAUCAUGUAUAAGUUGUAUAGUUUUAAUGUUUUAUUUUGGAAUAGAAUGGUGUGUAUGUGUGAGUUUGGUGAUGGAGUUUUUAUUAUGAAUGAAUUAUGAAUUUUUUAUGAAUUAUUAUGUCUAUUUUUUUUUUAUUCUUAUGUUUUAUGGACAACAGAUGGAAAUUAGCCCUUGGCUAUAAUCUGGUAUGUUUACAUUCAUGUAAUUUUUUUACAUUUAUGUUCAUUAACAUGCACUGUCCUAAAUAAAUAAAUUAAUUUUUUAUUUUUUUUUUUUUGUGUCCCGUUUGGAUCUUUAGCCAUCAGAAUUGUUGUCUUAAGGCCAAGAAAGAUACUAAGCGGAUUUAUUUUACCAAGUGGAUCAUCAUGGCCUUGCCAUAUUGGUUCAUUUGAUUGACCUUUAUUAUAAUUAUGAAUUUAUUUUAUUUUCAGUUGCUACAAACGGGACAGACAUGACUGGGGGAUAGGACAGGGAGAAAGAAUGAAAGAAAGAGAGGGAGAGAAAGAAAACCAAAGGGGAGAAGAGACGGUGAGAAGGGGGGAAGAAAGAAAAACAAACAAAAAAACAAAACAAAAAAAAAACAAAAAACACCUGGGUCACCAGUAUGGAGAAAAAAAACAGAAGAGAAAGCAAACAACAAAGAGCAAGAUAAUAAAAAAAAACGGCACCAUCACAAUAAACUAGCUAGCAGUAGAUAUCAGUAGAUACUAAAUAAUAAACGAUAUUGUGCAGCACGCAAGAUAGACAGCGCACAAUGUGCUUUGAGGCAGCAGCCAAGAAAGCUGUAGUCUGCGUCUGUGAAUACCCGUGUGUACACCUGUGUGCAUACCUGUGUGGAUCAGCAUGCUUGCAUUCCAAAGGUUUCUCCAUGUAACGAUCUGCUAGGGAGUGUGGGGGGGCCACAGCCCCGUCCUCCAGGGUAUGAAGCAGGUAUGGAGGAGAUCAAAACUCCAGACAUCCAGAGGCCCCCAGAACACAAGAGAC